Long non-coding RNA from Triticum aestivum (bread wheat), 2068 nucleotides. RefSeq lists it as uncharacterized. The transcript is spliced from 4 exons. NCBI's taxonomy places the organism in Eukaryota, Viridiplantae, Streptophyta, Magnoliopsida, Poales, Poaceae. The record is from RefSeq and is a predicted model, not a curated record.
UGGGCCCACUCACACACGGAUAACGACCCCUCCACCACACGCGUACACGCAUUCUGCCUUCACAAAUUUCGCCAAAUUCACCAUCGUCGAUCUUGAGAACCACCGGAGUAUUGGGAGAUUGGGCUGCGCGUGGGUGCCAUGACCGCCGGAGUAUUGGGAGGCUGGGCUGCGCGUGGGCGCCGUGGCUGCCGGAGUAAUGGGAGGCGGGGCUGCGCGCGGCCGCCGUGGCCGUCGGAGCAGUGGGAGGUGGGGCUGCGCGCGGCCGCCGUGGCCGUCGGAGUAGUGGGAGGUGGGGCUGCGCGCGGCCGCCGUGGCUGCCAGAGUAGUGUGAGGCGGGGCUGCGCACGGCUGCCCUGACCGCCGGACUAGUGGGAGACGGGGCUGCACUGCAUGUCUGCAUCUACUUCAGCAAGGUCAAGGACGUCGGCAGCGGCGACGACGAGCGCACUGGUAAGGGCGCCGCGGCUACGAAGUGGUCGUACUACGCCAGGAGGGUGCCACACGAGGAGGGGUUCCUGCUGGGGCUAGGCGGGAGGGCGUGGUGGACUACCGAUUUGCUCCACGGCCGGCGGGGAAGCUGCUGGUGGACACUGCUCACGCUGUGGUUUUCACUGUUGCAGAUGAUGUGGUUGUUACAGAGGCAGAUGUCCGCUCGGGGCAUUGCAGACAAGCGUUGCCUGCUCAGGAAGCAGCGGGUGGGAUUUUGACAAUGUCCAGGGCAUGGAUGAAGCCAAGGAGGAGCUUGUUGAGUGGGAAAGAUGGCCGGGAGGAGCAAAAAACGCAAUUGGCAUGAACGGCAUGUGACUGCUCUUGACCAUGAUUCAUUCCCUGCCAUUCAAGACCAACAAAUAGAGGGCAAGUUGCUGGACUCACCUAAAAAAAUCUCAAGCUAUCCAAGGAAUACCCAAGUAAGGAACCUUCAUCAGCUACUCUCCAAGUAAUCUUCAUACCCUUCCCCCGGAGAUUAGUUGCUUACUAUCUAGCUAGAGAGAAAUCAAUUUGUGUGUGAUUACUGAUUGCACUAAACUUUCUUACAGUUUCUUUUCAGUAAUUGGCAGGAAAUCAGUUGCCCACUACCAGCGUGCACGCAUAAGUUGGUUACUGGCAGAACUGGAGUUGCUUAAAAACAGCCAACCUAGAUGUUGCUGCUUUAAAAAAAAAAUACCACAGUCGUUGUACAAAGUAAACUAAAUUAAGAAGAGAUGCAUGAGUUGCUUACCCCUUUCCCACCCUUUUUUAUUUGCUUAAAAGUGCCCCAAUAGUUGCCACGCUUUUUUCACAUCUUUUUAGUUCUAGCACGCAUAACCAAACAAGAGUUGUUUGCUCUUAACACCUUUUUUGCUCAAAGCAAAGCCUAGAAGUUGCUGGCCUUUUUGUUUUAUUUUGUUUUUUGACACUUUUUUCUACUCCAAAAGCAACCUAAAAACACAAUAGCCAGUAUUUGCAAAAAAUGAAAUCAAAAAACAGAUGUCGUGCUCAUGUCCUGCCAAGAGUUGCUUGCUGUCAGACAUGAUUUGCUUACAAAAUCCAUUAUAAUUGCUCACUUUUUGGUUUUGCCCUUUUUUUGGUAACAGGUGCCAUACAAAAACGAUACUAGAUUCUCACAGAUCUGGGAAAAAUGAGGGAGAGCACUGGGACGAAGAAGGUGCAAUCAGAUUUGUAUAAACAAGAUUUGCAGGGUCCUUCUAGUUGUGGGGGAGGAAAGGAUACGCAGUUUGCAUGGGGAGAAGAUGGGCGUAGGGUAGGGUGAGGACAGAGAGAGGUUGAUCAAGCACGUGAUUGGGGGGCUGGAGGAAAGCGUGCGAGCUGCGGCUUGAUGCGCCUCUCUAGCGCAGGCUCAAGGGUUGGGGCGUGUGGGGACUGAUUCUUUUCCUUUUCUGUCCCGCCAGCUGUUUAGGGUUUUUCAAUUUCUUUUUUGGGUGUGUGCUCUAGAUUACUAACCAGCCAACAGGUGCUCCCUAGUCACGUCCUUGUUGCUGAUUAUUACGUACUCAAUAUGGACACUUAAUGCUCACAUUAGACAAGAUGGAGAAAAUCAGCCAUUAAUUAACUUUCCAUAUUUUAAAGA